Molecule: ribosomal RNA, 429 nt
Filed under: Gemmatimonadota bacterium
Lineage: Bacteria; Pseudomonadati; Gemmatimonadota
Description: Gemmatimonadetes bacterium partial 16S ribosomal RNA
Rfam family: Bacterial small subunit ribosomal RNA
Source: RNAcentral
UAGGGAAUCUUCGGCAAUGGACGAAAGUCUGACCGAGCAACGCCGCGUGAGUGAAGAAGGUCUUCGGAUCGUAAAACUCUGUUGUUAGAGAAGAACAAGGACGUUAGUAACUGAACGUCCCCUGACGGUAUCUAACCAGAAAGCCACGGCUAACUACGUGCCAGCAGCCGCGGUAAUACGCAGGUGGCAAGCGUUGUCCGGAUUUAUUGGGCGUAAAGCGAGCGCAGGCGGUUUCUUAAGUCUGAUGUGAAAGCCCCCGGCUCAACCGGGGAGGGUCAUUGGAAACUGGGAAACUUGAGUGCAGAAGAGGAGAGUGGAAUUCCGUGUGUAGAGGUGAAAUGCGUAGAUAUAUGGAGGAAAACCAGUGGCGAAGGCGGCGCUCUGGUCAGUAACUGACGCUGAGGUUGGAAAGCGUGGGGAGCAAACAGG